This 300-nucleotide ribosomal RNA is filed under the name uncultured Roseomonas sp. RNAcentral describes it as "bacterial SSU rRNA". It matches the Rfam family "Bacterial small subunit ribosomal RNA", at positions 496 to 795 of the family's 1533-position model. Lineage: Bacteria; Pseudomonadati; Pseudomonadota; Alphaproteobacteria; Acetobacterales; Roseomonadaceae. The record is from RNAcentral.
GCUAACUUCGUGCCAGCAGCCGCGGUAAUACGAAGGGGGCUAGCGUUGCUCGGAAUUACUGGGCGUAAAGGGCGCGUAGGCGGCCGAUCAAGUCAGGCGUGAAAUUCCUGGGCUCAACCUGGGGGCUGCGCUUGAGACUGAUUGGCUAGAGGCCGAGAGAGGGUGGUGGAAUUCCCAGUGUAGAGGUGAAAUUCGUAGAUAUUGGGAAGAACACCGGUGGCGAAGGCGGCCACCUGGCUCGGUACUGACGCUGAGGCGCGACAGCGUGGGGAGCAAACAGGAUUAGAUACCCUAGUAGUC